RNAcentral lists this ribosomal RNA (472 nucleotides) under uncultured bacterium. RNAcentral describes it as "bacterial SSU rRNA". It matches the Rfam family "Bacterial small subunit ribosomal RNA", at positions 355 to 825 of the family's 1533-position model. The record is from RNAcentral.
UGGGGAAUUUUGGACAAUGGGCGAAAGCCUGAUCCAGCAAUGCCGCGUGCAGGAAGAAGGCCUUCGGGUUGUAAACUGCUUUUGUACGGAACGAAAAGGCUCUUUCUAAUAAAGAGGGCCCAUGACGGUACCGUAAGAAUAAGCACCGGCUAACUACGUGCCAGCAGCCGCGGUAAUACGUAGGGUGCGAGCGUUAAUCGGAAUUACUGGGCGUAAAGCGUGCGCAGGCGGUUCUAUAAGACAGAUGUGAAAUCCCCGGGCUCAACCUGGGAAUGGCAUUUGUGACUGUAGGGCUAGGGUACGGUAGAGGGGGAUGGAAUUCCGCGUGUAGCAGUGAAAUGCGUAGAUAUGCGGAGGAACACCGAUGGCGAAGGCAAUCCCCUGGACCUGUACUGACGCUCAUGCACGAAAGCGUGGGGAGCAAACAGGAUUAGAUACCCAUGUAGUCCCUGAGCGGGCUGGCAAGGCGCAU